RNAcentral lists this ribosomal RNA (1092 nucleotides) under uncultured bacterium. RNAcentral's name for it is "bacterial SSU rRNA". It matches the Rfam family "Bacterial small subunit ribosomal RNA", at positions 8 to 1059 of the family's 1533-position model. The record is from RNAcentral.
AGAGUUUGAUCCUGGCUCAGGACGAACGCUGGCGGCGUGCCUAAUACAUGCAAGUCGAGCGAAGUUUUUCUGGUGCUUGCACUAGAAAAACUUAGCGGCGAACGGGUGAGUAACACGUAAAGAACCUGCCUCAUAGACUGGGACAACUAUUGGAAGCGAUAGCUAAUACCGGAUAACAGUAUUUCUCGCAUGAGAGAUAUUUAAAAGUUGGUUAUGCUAACACUAUGAGAUGGCUUUGCGGUGCAUUAGCUAGUUGGUGGGGUAAAGGCCUACCAAGGCGACGAUGCAUAGCCGACCUGAGAGGGUGAUCGGCCACACUGGGACUGAGACACGGCCCAGACUCCUACGGGAGGCAGCAGUAGGGAAUCUUCCGCAAUGGGCGAAAGCCUGACGGAGCAACGCCGCGUGAGUGAAGAAGGAUUUCGGUUCGUAAAGCUCUGUUGUUAGGGAAGAAUGGAUAUGUAGUAACUAUACAUGUACGAGACGGUACCUAACCAGAAAGCCACGGCUAACUACGUGCCAGCAGCCGCGGUAAUACGUAGGUGGCAAGCGUUGUCCGGAAUUAUUGGGCGCAAAGCGCGCGCAGGUGGUUUAAUAAGUCUGAUGUGAAAGCCCACGGCUCAACCGUGGAGGGUCAUUGGAAACUGUUAAACUUGAGUGCAGGAGAGAAAAGUGGAAUUCCUAGUGUAGCGGUGAAAUGCGUAGAGAUUAGGAGGAACACCAGUGGCGAAGGCGGCUUUUUGGCCUGUAACUGACACUGAGGCGCGAAAGCGUGGGGAGCAAACAGGAUUAGAUACCCUGGUAGUCCACGCCGUAAACGAUGAGUGCUAAGUGUUGGUCUCAUAAGAGAUCAGUGCUGCAGCUAACGCAUUAAGCACUCCGCCUGGGGGAGUACGACCGCAAAGGUUGAAACUCAAAAGAAAUUGACAGGGGACCCGCCACAAGCCGGUGGAACAUGUUGGUUUUAAUUCUAAACAACGCGCAAGAACAUUACCACGUCUUGACAUACUGGUGAGGGAAGAAAGAAAAUUUUGUUGUUUCUAUACCUCUGUGUAUGACACCACAUCUCGUGAGUGGGCAUGGCUUUUCUGC